This 491-nucleotide ribosomal RNA is filed under the name uncultured bacterium. RNAcentral describes it as "partial 16S ribosomal RNA". It matches the Rfam family "Bacterial small subunit ribosomal RNA", at positions 29 to 507 of the family's 1533-position model. The record is from RNAcentral.
AGUGAACGCUGGCGGUAGGCCUAAUACAUGCAAGUCGAACGGCAGCACAGUAAGAGCUUGCUCUUACGGGUGGCGAGUGGCGGACGGGUGAGGAAUACAUCGGAAUCUACUUUUUCGUGGGGGAUAACGUAGGGAAACUUACGCUAAUACCGCAUACGACCUACGGGUGAAAGCAGGGGAUCUUCGGACCUUGCGCGAUUGAAUGAGCCGAUGUCGGAUUAGCUAGUUGGCGGGGUAAAGGCCCACCAAGGCGACGAUCCGUAGCUGGUCUGAGAGGAUGAUCAGCCACACUGGAACUGAGACACGGUCCAGACUCCUACGGGAGGCAGCAGUGGGGAAUAUUGGACAAUGGGCGCAAGCCUGAUCCAGCCAUACCGCGUGGGUGAAGAAGGCCUUCGGGUUGUAAAGCCCUUUGUUGGGAAAGAAAAGCAGCAGGUUAAUACCCCGCUGUUCUGACGGUACCCAAAGAAUAAGCACCGGCUAACUUCGUG